Molecule: long non-coding RNA, 610 nt
Organism: Magnolia sinica
Lineage: Eukaryota; Viridiplantae; Streptophyta; Magnoliopsida; Magnoliales; Magnoliaceae
Exons: 3
Source: RefSeq, a predicted model, not a curated record
UCCGUCACGAUCUCUCUCUCUCUCUCUCUCUCUCUCUCUCUCUCUCUCUCUCUCUCUCUCUCUCUCUCUCUCUCUCUCUCUCUCUCUCUAUUUCCCUCUCUCCCUCUCCCUUCAACAGAAACAGCUGGAGUUCGGAUCGGAUUUCGCAGGUGUGAAGCGGCUGGAGUUCGGAUCUGGAUCACUCAUAUUUGAAGGACCGACGCAUACACUUGUGACUCCCGAACUGUUGGGGCCCACAAGCAUUGUCAUCUCUAAGAUGAAGAUGUACUAGAGGGCCCCAAUGCAGACCAAAGAUCUUCUCAGCGUUUCACCGUUGUGUCCAACAACAACAAUAUCUCAAGUCAGUACGAUUCCCCCCUAAUAUCCAGGGAACAAGAUAGUAAGAGGGAAAAUAAUUCUUCUUUACUGAAGAUGCGGUCAUUAAUUAUUGAAAAUAAAACCUUGCCUCGUCCUCUUCGCAUUCGUCCCCCUACCAUUCAUGCAGGGGCCCUUCCUCUGCCUCGUCCUCCUGCCAUUCAUGCAGGGGGCCUUCCUCCUGGACAUCCUUGUGAAAAUUUCACACUUCCACCUCCACCGGCAAAUAGAAAACAGACUGGCCCACAUCGUAAGU